UAUUGCGCAAUGGAGGAAACUCUGACGCAGUGACGCCGCGUAUAGGAAGAAGGUUUUCGGAUUGUAAACUAUUGUCGUGCGGGAAGAAAUUGACAGUACCUUAGGAGGAAGCUCCGGCUAACAAUGUGCACGCACCCGCGGUAAUACAUAGGGAGCAAGCGUUAUCCGGAGUUAUUGGGUGUAAAGGGUGCGUAGACGGGAAAUUAAGUUAGUUGUGAAAUCCCUCGGCUUAACUGAGGAACUGCAACUAAAACUGAUUUUCUUGAGUACUGGAGAGGAAAGUGGAAUUCCUAGUGUAGCGGUGAAAUGCGUAGAUAUUAGGAGGAACACCAGUGGCGAAGGCGACUUUCUGGACAGUAACUGACGUUGAGGCACGAAAGUGUGGGGAGCAAACAGG
This 397-nucleotide ribosomal RNA is filed under the name uncultured bacterium. Its description in RNAcentral is "bacterial SSU rRNA". It matches the Rfam family "Bacterial small subunit ribosomal RNA", at positions 362 to 776 of the family's 1533-position model. The record is from RNAcentral.